AUAACGCGUGAGAACAUGCCUUUAGAUUGGGGACAACAGUUGGAAACGACUGCUAAUACCGAAUGUGCCUUAGGGUGAAAGAUUUAUUGUCUAAAGAUUGGCUCGCGUCAGAUUAGCUAGUUGGAGUGGUAACGGCACACCAAGGCGACGAUCUGUACUUGUCUGAGAGGAUGACCAGGCACACUGGAACUGAGACACGGUCCAGACUCCUACGGGAGGCAGCAGUGGGGAAUUUUCCGCAAUGGGCGAAAGCCUGACGGAGCAAUACCGCGUGAGGGAGGACGGCUUUUGGGUUGUAAACCUCUUUUAUCAGGGAAGAAUCGAUGACGGUACCUGAUGAAUCAGCAUCGGCUAACUCCGUGCCAGCAGCCGCGGUAAUACGGAGGAUGCAAGCGUUAUCCGGAAUUAUUGGGCGUAAAGCGUCCGUAGGUGGUUUAUCAAGUCUGCUGUCAAAGCGUGCGGCUUAACCGCAUAAGGGCAGUGGAAACGAUGAACUAGAGUGCGAUAGGGGUAACAGGAAUUCCCAGUGUAGCGGUGAAAUGCGUAGAUAUUGGGAAGAACACCAGCGGCGAAAGCGUGUUACUGGGUCUGCACUGACACUGAGGGACGAAAGCUAGGGGAGCGAAAGGGAUUAGAUACCCUGUUCUCACGCUUAUC
RNAcentral lists this ribosomal RNA (657 nucleotides) under Nodosilinea foveolarum PUPCCC 112.8/1. RNAcentral describes it as "bacterial SSU rRNA". It matches the Rfam family "Bacterial small subunit ribosomal RNA", at positions 110 to 807 of the family's 1533-position model. Lineage: Bacteria; Bacillati; Cyanobacteriota; Cyanophyceae; Nodosilineales; Nodosilineaceae. The record is from RNAcentral.